RNAcentral lists this non-coding RNA (28 nucleotides) under Cricetulus griseus (Chinese hamster). Lineage: Eukaryota; Metazoa; Chordata; Mammalia; Rodentia; Cricetidae. The record is from RNAcentral.
CUAAUCGGGGUUUUUGUAAUGAUGUUGA